AUCUACGGCCAUGCCCAAUCCCAUCUGAUCUCAGAAGCUAAGCAGGGUCGGGCCUGGUUAGUACUUGAAUGGGAGACCACCUAGGAAGACCAGGUGCCGUAGGUG
RNAcentral lists this ribosomal RNA (105 nucleotides) under Pteropus alecto (black flying fox). Lineage: Eukaryota; Metazoa; Chordata; Mammalia; Chiroptera; Pteropodidae. The record is from RNAcentral.